This is a long non-coding RNA of Salvia miltiorrhiza (redroot sage), 617 nucleotides long. RefSeq lists it as uncharacterized. The record is from RefSeq and is a predicted model, not a curated record. The transcript has 2 exons. NCBI's taxonomy places the organism in Eukaryota, Viridiplantae, Streptophyta, Magnoliopsida, Lamiales, Lamiaceae.
UUAUGUAUUCAUAUUUAUGAUAAAUAUUUUUUUGUUUAUUCGAAAUAAUGUGUUCUGCAAAUUUAAUUAUAGACUGGGGUAUUGUUACCUAUCUGCACUCAAAUUUGUGAAUUAUUUGCUCUACAACUAUAUAUUACGUUGACCUAUUUGAAUAUUAAUUGAAGUAUAAUUUUUUAUUACAUGAUUUCAGAUGACUAAUAUUAUGUACUAUCUUAUUUUUAAUGAAUAAUUCUUGCAAAUGUUUUUUUUAUAUAUAUGCGAAUUUCUGACUAAUUAGUUGUUAGUUGUGUUUUAUUCAAAGAUUUUGUUGAGGAACCCCCAAAAUCAACUCAGAAUGCAUUAGCUCUGGCAGAUAAACUAGAAGGAAGUAAACGUCGGGGGAAGAGUGAAGUGCCAGACUGUGAAAGGGAGAGGCUCUGGAAAAAAACAAGUUUCCUCAAAAACACCAAAAUGAAGAAGGCAAAGGGAAGAAGAAGCAAAGAAGGACUACGAAUCCAAAGGGGGUGACAUGCAACUAUGCAAGCGUAGUAUGCACCUAUAUAUUGAUGUAUUUUAAUGCUGAUACGAAUAUUCAAUAUUAUAUAGCUAUGUAUUCUAAAUAUAUUUAACAUUGUUCA